This is a long non-coding RNA of Lolium rigidum, 3459 nucleotides long. RefSeq lists it as uncharacterized. NCBI's taxonomy places the organism in Eukaryota, Viridiplantae, Streptophyta, Magnoliopsida, Poales, Poaceae. The transcript is spliced from 5 exons. The record is from RefSeq and is a predicted model, not a curated record.
UUUGGAUGGUAUAUUGUUUAGAUGGUCUCCGUCUUAGUAUAUAUCUAUGUGCUCUUUCAGAUUUAGGUCGACGAGUUUGGGAUUUGAGUGUCUGGACGCAAAAUGAGCGCCGUGUUUAGUUGUACGAUUCUUCAGAUUUAUGUCGUAUCACGGGCUAUGGCUCAUGGCUGCUUCGCCCUGAAUCGAUUCUGCCUACUGCAGGUUUAGCAUUCAGGUUUAAUUGUUCAGAGUGGAUUGCAGUGAUGAUUUGGCUAUGACAGAUUGAUGGCCUAUUUUACCUAGCACAGGUUUAGCAUGAAGAUUCAGUUAUCGUGUAUGAUGCUUUCCCUGUUGUAGUUCGGUAGGUUUGUUUCUUACAUCAAAACUUCGCCUGUUUAUUAAAGCAUAAUAGUUCUGGUAUUUUAAUAGCAGAUAAGCUACUAACGAACCAUGCGCCAUGUUUGACAAGAAUGUCCAUUACCCUGUACGUUCUUCAGCACUUAAAUAGUACAUUGUAUACCAUUACCCUGUAACUGCAACUUAAACAGAAGGACAAAUCAAUUUUGCGUCUCUUCGAGAUGUAACUGACAAUAUUUCCUCAAAAGGUCUACUGUCUUGCUCACCAAAUAUGUUACAUAGUGGUGUUUUCCGUGUUGCACAAUGGACUCAACGAUGCUACAGUGGAGGCGGCCUCCGCACGGUACACAAUUGCCAGAAUCCAUCCCGAAGAAAGCCAUGUUGACGACCAAGAGUAUGUGUUGGUACUUGCUUCCGAUUGAAUCGUCAUUCUUGCGAUGAAAACAAAAUCUCUGGCAUGCAAUUUGGUGAUAGGAUGUUUCCAUCAUUCCAAGGUAAAUAAGACCCAACACAAAUCUAGAAAAGAAGGACCUUUACAAACAUUAUUUCGAAAAUUCAUAUGGUGACAUUAUUCAAGUCAUAUGUCAUGAGAAUAUUUUAAAAAAACUGAGCAUAUAAAGAGAGACAUGCAAGAUGUAUCUAUUAAUCUAGCCAUUCUAAUUGUGAGAAUGAUUUAAGAUCUUAUUGAGACUUUGCUAAAGAUAAAUUGAAAACUACGAAUCAUUUAGUUUAGAAACUUGCAUUUCAGUGUUUAUGUUUCUGUGUAAGUGGCUAGCAUAUCUUUUUCCUCUGAUGCUACUACAUUGUAAGGAAAUCAUGAAUGUUAUUUGGCAAUGUAGAUCGCCAGACUUAUGACAAGAAGUAGAGACUUGCACAAUUUGAAUAGGAACUAAAUCUGGUUAGAAAAAAUAUUUAGGAUGCGAUUUGCCUUAUCUAGCAAAAUGAAACAGGGAAAAUUGAUUCUGAAAAUGGAACAUGGGUGGCACGUACAAUGGAGAGGACAUGGCGCCCGGUCAAGGGAACUCCCAUCAUCUAUUUCCCCUUAUGUCUUCGAUAUUGCUGGUGGCCACUGCUAUUUUAUGCUUGCACGUGAGAAAUUAUCACUGCAUAUGCACAUAGGUGAAGAGCCACAAGCCAUUGCUACUCGGUAGUUACAAAUUUUGACUCAUUUUUUAGUUGCACCUCUUCAUGAGGUCUUCAAAAUAAUACUUUACUUUGUUUGGCAAUUCCUUCACAAGGUUUUAUAUGCACAUAGGUUUAUGGUGGCGAGGUUGGCUGGCGGUAGGAUUGUCGGUGGCCUGUUAUUGAUGAGUUUGUGUUUUGUGUGUGUGAAUCUGGUGGGAACUACAAUAUCGUUGUGUGUUUGGUGGUGAUCUGAGCAUUUUAAGUGUUGGGCAUGUGGAUUUUUGUACAAUGGUGGGUUUCCAAAAACUUGGUUGCAGCCUGCGGCGAGGGAGGUAGAGCAGAAAAGGUGAGAAAUCUAUAUGCAAAGAGGACAUACAAAGUUGGUCAGCAGACACUGAUCUGGAGGCAGUAUAUGUCAUAGUAGUUGAUCUGGAUCCUAGCCAAGGUUUUUUUUUAAAUCAAAGUUUUCCACUGUUUUUGAUUAAGAAAAUCAGUUUUAUUUUCGUACUGUCAGCAGACGAACAUGCUGAUUAACCAUUGAGCUCUGGCUUGUCGGGCAAUGUCACGAAGCUGCAAAUCCAUUAGUUCGGUCCCUUUCAUGAGGAAAUUUUCUUCGUUUGACCUGAAAUCACAAAGGUCACAUGUUUUCUGCUUUAGCCUUUCCUCUUGGACUAAAUCAGUACAUGUCAGUGAAAUGUCUCCUGGUUUAGAUGAAUUUCUGCUACCGCUACUAUGCAUGUUUUGUCUUGUUUAUUGUACUGAUGGUUAUAUUUUGUCUGAAAAAGCAAGGUGCAUUUCUCUCCUAUAUCAUGAGCUCACUAACAGUCUGGUUAAAGUACUCAUGGAUAAGAUGUUUAGGUAACAGUUCUAUUUUCUUCUAAAGUGCCACAAUAGGAUUUUUCGGAAUUCAGCUUUCUUGGAUCUGUAGCUUUUGUUCCACAGCGAGAGGCUCAUGGAUCAUAAUAGGUGAAAGCUUCUCAUGCUUGGAACUUUUCUACUAUUAUUGCUCCCUUAUUCGUCAAAUUAUUCAGGAUAAUGUGUAUCUUUCCUGAUUUGAAUUGGUGGUGGUUGCAAGCAGGCAAUAUAUAACAAGUCAUAUAAAUAUGCUAUUAUAUUCACUUUGAGUUUGGUUAGUCCAACUGAUACUGAAAAUGCACAAAAUACUCUUAUUUUUCUUUACAUUAAUAAAUAUUGGAAAGCUGGACAGUUAUCUUGAAACUUCUAUCUGAACAUUUUCCUUUGCUGAAUUUAUUGAAGUUGUUUAUUUGGUUUUUUUGUGCAGCUAUGAUCAUUCAGGAUAUGGGGCCUCAACAACAAAGUAAAAUUUUAAAUUCCUGGUACUUGCCGCAUUGUUGUGUAGAAUACUGAGGAUGAAAAAUUGAUGUCGUCUUUGCAGCAAUAGAAGUGAACAUGGGUUCUUGAAACAUACUUUCGAGAAGUAUGUGAAUCGACGCUCAAGACACUCAUCCGUACUUGCCUUCCCCGGCGAUGUGGUUCAUCAAACACUGUUAUGAGGUGCUGAAAGCGGGAGCUUAUGGAAGGCCUAAAGCAUCACCGUUUCGGAUAUGCAGAUUUUGAAAAAUCUGACUGGUGAAUCUUAUAUGAUCUAGAUUUAUUGAAGUGUUCUCCUACAAAAUGAUCGAUUAUGUGUAUUUUCUUUCCUAAGCAUCUUUAUAAAAUUGAAAAUGGUUUCUUAGUUUUGUCUGCCUAAAAUAUCCCAGUGUCAAAGGCAUAAUAGAAAUGUUGCAUGAUUUUCCAUCCUAAACUAACUGCACAAAAAAUUGAAGUAAGUGCUAUUGAGUUCAUGUUGUUUGAGUUCUAAAUUCUUAUACCUUCUUUUUAAUAGGAUAUUUUCAUUUUCUACGAAGUUCUUACAAGUAAUUCAACAUAGCACAUUGCACUAGAAACUCAAAGCCUGGCAAUUGAUCUCUGGAGUCCGGGAUGUCACAAUGUUUGACAUUAAUUUGAGCGGAUGUGAUUUAUCUUUGUAUGUUGGUU